Neopsephotus bourkii (Bourke's parrot) is the source of this 943-nucleotide long non-coding RNA. RefSeq lists it as uncharacterized. The record is from RefSeq and is a predicted model, not a curated record. The transcript has 2 exons. NCBI's taxonomy places the organism in Eukaryota, Metazoa, Chordata, Aves, Psittaciformes, Psittacidae.
UUUUCUUACUCCAAGGCAGUUUUUUCACAAUACAGGAAUGUUCUCUACCUGAACUUUGUCUUUCUUUUCUAAUAUGUAUGCAUGAAACUGAGGGCAUCCUUUCACAACUUGAGUUUUAUGUUACGCAGGAAUAAUGGGUUGAGUUGUAGAAACAGUGAGUGAUAUGUAGGCCAUGGCUUUUUCAAAUUACUGCAAGAGAGAAGAAGUUAAUACUGUGUUAGAAGGCCAAGGACUUGUGCUUUCUAGCACAUUGUGAGCAGAUUGGAAGUCUGAGGAACAUAAUGAAGAAUUUGGUAGUUUGUGUGUCAUUAAAUUAAUAUUUGCCACUGAAUGAAGAGUUUCAAUUUCCUCAAUGUGAGAGUGAGCAAAGUACAAUAGCUGAAAUAAAUGUCACAUGUUUAGGAACACUGUCAGCAUGACUAAUUUCUGAUUUUAUUCACAACUGUGUGCAAAAUGCAGUGAUAGAAUAUGGAAGAUUAAUGUAAAAAGGCUAUUGAAUUUUUUGUUUGUUUUCCAGGAAGCGAUUUCAGGAAUCCUUGUCUUAAAUGACCUGAGAUUUGGAGUUCUGCCUAUGUGGCAUCCCAGAUUUCAUGGCUGUAAGAUGAGCAUAACUGUUAUUCAUAUCAAAAAACAUACACCAUGCCUCACCUGCAGUACUGCGUUCAGCUCUGGAGUCCUCAGUACAGGAAAGACACAGACCUGUUGGAGAGGGUCCAGAGAAGGGCCACAAAAAUGAUCAGAGGGAUGGUGCACCUUCUUUGAAAGUCAGUUCUAACCCAAACUAUUCUAUGAUAAUACCAUAACAGCUGUAAGGCAUAGUAAACAUUCACUCAAACAUGGAGCUCCUGUUGCAAGCCUGGAGAGCAUGCAGAGAGUACGUUCCUUUGAUUAUGUGCAUUUAUGGGUUUUUGUCACUUUUAAAAAUAAAAAAUUGGUAUUAAUG